AACGAACGCUGGCGGCGCGUCUUAAGCAUGCAAGUCGAACGGCAAGAGAGGAGCUUGCUUCUCUCCUAGAGUGGCGGACUGGUGAGGAACACGUGGGUAAUCUACCCUUAAGAUGGGGAUAGCUGCUAGAAAUAGCAGGUAAUACCGAAUACACUCAAGACUUCAUAAGAGGUUUUGAGGAAAGGAAGCUACGGCUUCGCUUGAGGAUGAGCUUGCGUCCCAUUAGCUCGUUGGUGAGGUAACGGCCCACCAAGGCGACGAUGGGUAUCCGGCCUGAGAGGGUGAACGGACACAUUGGGACUGAGAUACGGCCCAAACUCCUAUGGGAGGCAGCAGCUAAGAAUAUUCCGCAAUGGACGGAAGUCUGACGGAGCGACGCCGCGUGGAUGAAGAAGGCUGAAAAGUUGUAAAAUCCUUUUGUUGAUGAAGAAUAAGGGUGAGAGGGAAUGCUUAUCUGAUGACGGUAAUCGACGAAUAAGCCCCG
Molecule: ribosomal RNA, 484 nt
Filed under: Treponema sp. oral taxon 230
Lineage: Bacteria; Pseudomonadati; Spirochaetota; Spirochaetia; Treponematales; Treponemataceae
Description: bacterial SSU rRNA
Rfam family: Bacterial small subunit ribosomal RNA
Source: RNAcentral